AGACUUUCAUUAUAGGUGUGCAUC
This 24-nucleotide non-coding RNA is filed under the name Arabidopsis thaliana (thale cress). Lineage: Eukaryota; Viridiplantae; Streptophyta; Magnoliopsida; Brassicales; Brassicaceae. The record is from RNAcentral.